UCUCUGGUGGCUCAGAUGGUAAAGCAUCUGCCUACAAUGCAGGAGGCCUGGGUUCAACUCUUGGGUUGGGAA
Molecule: transfer RNA, 72 nt
Filed under: Bos taurus (domestic cattle)
Lineage: Eukaryota; Metazoa; Chordata; Mammalia; Artiodactyla; Bovidae
Also listed under: 2 other names
Rfam family: tRNA
About the family: Transfer RNA (tRNA) molecules are approximately 80 nucleotides in length.
Source: Rfam by way of RNAcentral